RNAcentral lists this transfer RNA (63 nucleotides) under Neotoma lepida (desert woodrat). It matches the Rfam family "tRNA", at positions 5 to 66 of the family's 71-position model. Rfam says of the family: Transfer RNA (tRNA) molecules are approximately 80 nucleotides in length. Their secondary structure includes four short double-helical elements and three loops (D, anti-codon, and T loops). The record is from Rfam by way of RNAcentral. Lineage: Eukaryota; Metazoa; Chordata; Mammalia; Rodentia; Cricetidae.
AUAUAGCUUAGUAGUAAAGCACAUGUCUGACAUGUUUAAGGCCCUGGGUUUGACCCCCAGUAU